This 497-nucleotide ribosomal RNA is filed under the name uncultured bacterium. RNAcentral's name for it is "partial 16S ribosomal RNA". It matches the Rfam family "Bacterial small subunit ribosomal RNA", at positions 28 to 507 of the family's 1533-position model. The record is from RNAcentral.
GAUGAACGCUGGCGGCGUGCCUAAUACAUGCAAGUCGAGCGAACGGACGAGAAGCUUGCUUCUCUUAUGUUAGCGGCGGACGGGUGAGUAACACGUGGAUAACCUGCCUAUAAGACUGGGAUAACUUCGGGAAACCGGAGCUAAUACCGGAUGAUAUCUUGAACCGCAAUGUGCAAAAGUGAAAGACGGUCUUUCUGUCCCGGAUAGAUGGGUCCGCUCUUCAUUAGCUAGUUGGGAAGGUAACGGCCUACCAAGGCAAUGAUGCAUAGCCGCCCUGAGUGGGUGAUCUGCCACCCUGGAAGUGAGACAGGGUCCAGACUUCUACGGUAGGCAGCAGUCGGGAAUCCUCCGCAAUGGGCGAAUGCGUGAUGGAGCACAGUCGCGUGAGUGAUGAUGGUGUUCGGAUCGGAAAACUAUGUUAUUAGGGAAGAACAUAUGUGUAAGUAUUUGUGCAGAUCUUGACGGUACCUAAUCAGAAAGCCACGGCUAACUACGUG